UUAAGCGACUAAGCGUACACGGUGGAUGCCCUGGCAGUCAGAGGCGAUGAAGGACGUGCUAAUCUGCGAAAAGCGUCGGUAAGGUGAUAUGAACCGUUAUAGCCGGCGAUGUCCGAAUGGGGAAACCCAGUGCAAUUCGUUGCACUAUCGUUAACUGAAUACAUAGGUUAACGAGGCGAACCGGGGGAACUGAAACAUCUAAGUACCCCGAGGAAAAGAAAUCAACCGAGAUUCCCCCAGUAGCGGCGAGCGAACGGGGAGCAGCCCAGAGUCUGAAUCAGCUUGUGUGUUAGUGGAACGGUCUGGAAAGUCCGACGGUACAGGGUGAUAGUCCCGUACACCAAAAUGCACAGGUUGUGAACUCGAAGAGUAGGGCGGGACACGUGGUAUCCUGUCUGAAUAUGGGGGGACCAUCCUCCAAGGCUAAAUACUCCUGACUGACCGAUAGUGAACCAGUACCGUGAGGGAAAGGCGAAAAGAACCCCGGCGAGGGGAGUGAAAAAGAACCUGAAACCGUGUACGUACAAGCAGUGGGAGCACCUUCGGGUGUGACUGCGUACCUUUUGUAUAAUGGGUCAGCGACUUAUAUUCUGUAGCAAGGUUAACCGUAUAGGGGAGCCGCAGGGAAACCGAGUCUUAACUGGGCGUUAAGUUGCAGGGUAUAGACCCGAAACCCGGUGAUCUAGCCAUGGGCAGGUUGAAGGUUGGGUAACACUAACUGGAGGACCGAACCGACUAAUGUUGAAAAAUUAGCGGAUGACUUGUGGCUGGGGGUGAAAGGCCAAUCAAACCGGGAGAUAGCUGGUUCUCCCCGAAAGCUAUUUAGGUAGCGCCUCGUGAACUCAUCUUCGGGGGUAGAGCACUGUUUCGGCUAGGGGGUCAUCCCGACUUACCAACCCGAUGCAAACUACGAAUACCGAAGAAUGUUAUCACGGGAGACACACGGCGGGUGCUAACGUCCGUCGUGAAGAGGGAAACAACCCAGACCGCCAGCUAAGGUCCCAAAGUCAUGGUUAAGUGGGAAACGAUGUGGGAAGGCACAGACAGCCAGGAUGUUGGCUUAGAAGCAGCCAUCAUUUAAAGAAAGCGUAAUAGCUCACUGGUCGAGUCGGCCUGCGCGGAAGAUGUAACGGGGCUAAACCAUGCACCGAAGCUGCGGCAGCGACACUAUGUGUUGUUGGGUAGGGGAGCGUUCUGUAAGCCUGCGAAGGUGUGCUGUGAGGCAUGCUGGAGGUAUCAGAAGUGCGAAUGCUGACAUAAGUAACGAUAAAGCGGGUGAAAAGCCCGCUCGCCGGAAGACCAAGGGUUCCUGUCCAACGUUAAUCGGGGCAGGGUGAGUCGACCCCUAAGGCGAGGCCGAAAGGCGUAGUCGAUGGGAAACAGGUUAAUAUUCCUGUACUUGGUGUUACUGCGAAGGGGGGACGGAGAAGGCUAUGUUAGCCGGGCGACGGUUGUCCCGGUUUAAGCAUGUAGGCUGAUUGUCCAGGCAAAUCCGGAUAAUCAAGGCUGAGGUGUGAUGACGAGGCACUACGGUGCUGAAGUAACAAAUGCCCUGCUUCCAGGAAAAGCCUCUAAGCAUCAGGUAACAUCAAAUCGUACCCCAAACCGACACAGGUGGUCAGGUAGAGAAUACCAAGGCGCUUGAGAGAACUCGGGUGAAGGAACUAGGCAAAAUGGUGCCGUAACUUCGGGAGAAGGCACGCUGGUGUGUAGGUGAAGUCCCUGCGGAUGGAGCUGAGACCAGUCGAAGAUACCAGCUGGCUGCAACUGUUUAUUAAAAACACAGCACUGUGCAAACACGAAAGUGGACGUAUACGGUGUGACGCCUGCCCGGUGCCGGAAGGUUAAUUGAUGGGGUUAUCCGUAAGGAGAAGCUCUUGAUCGAAGCCCCGGUAAACGGCGGCCGUAACUAUAACGGUCCUAAGGUAGCGAAAUUCCUUGUCGGGUAAGUUCCGACCUGCACGAAUGGCGUAAUGAUGGCCAGGCUGUCUCCACCCGAGACUCAGUGAAAUUGAACUCGCUGUGAAGAUGCAGUGUACCCGCGGCAAGACGGAAAGACCCCGUGAACCUUUACUAUAGCUUGACACUGAACAUUGAGCCUUGAUGUGUAGGAUAGGUGGGAGGCUUUGAAGCGUGGACGCCAGUCUGCGUGGAGCCAACCUUGAAAUACCACCCUUUAAUGUUUGAUGUUCUAACGUUGGCCCCUUACCGGGGUUGCGGACAGUGUCUGGUGGGUAGUUUGACUGGGGCGGUCUCCUCCCAAAGCGUAACGGAGGAGCACGAAGGUUAGCUAAUCCUGGUCGGACAUCAGGAGGUUAGUGCAAUGGCAUAAGCUAGCUUGACUGCGAGCGUGACGGCGCGAGCAGGUGCGAAAGCAGGUCAUAGUGAUCCGGUGGUUCUGAAUGGAAGGGCCAUCGCUCAACGGAUAAAAGGUACUCCGGGGAUAACAGGCUGAUACCGCCCAAGAGUUCAUAUCGACGGCGGUGUUUGGCACCUCGAUGUCGGCUCAUCACAUCCUGGGGCUGAAGUAGGUCCCAAGGGUAUGGCUGUUCGCCAUUUAAAGUGGUACGCGAGCUGGGUUUAGAACGUCGUGAGACAGUUCGGUCCCUAUCUGCCGUGGGCGCUGGAGAAUUGAGGGGGGCUGCUCCUAGUACGAGAGGACCGGAGUGGACGCAUCACUGGUGUUCGGGUUGUCAUGCCAAUGGCACUGCCCGGUAGCUAAAUGCGGAAGAGAUAAGUGCUGAAAGCAUCUAAGCACGAAACUUGCCCCGAGAUGAGUUCUCCCUGAGACUUUAAGUCUCCUGAAGGAACGUUGAAGACGACGACGUUGAUAGGCCGGGUGUGUAAGCGCAGCGAUGCGUUGAGCUAACCGGUACUAAUGAACCGUGAGGCUUAACCU
RNAcentral lists this ribosomal RNA (2899 nucleotides) under Klebsiella pneumoniae. Its description in RNAcentral is "23S ribosomal RNA". It matches the Rfam family "Bacterial large subunit ribosomal RNA". The record is from RNAcentral. Lineage: Bacteria; Pseudomonadati; Pseudomonadota; Gammaproteobacteria; Enterobacterales; Enterobacteriaceae.